CCUACGGGGUGCAGCAGUGAGGAAUAUUGGUCAAUGGACGAGAGUCUGAACCAGCCAAGUAGCGUGAAGGAUGACUGCCCUCUGGGUUGUAAACUUCUUUUAUAUGGGAAUAAAAUGUUCCACGUGUGGGAUUUUGUAUGUACCAUAUGAAUAAGGAUCGGCUAACUCCGUGCCAGCAGCCGCGGUAAUACGGAGGAUCCGAGCGUUAUCCGGAUUUAUUGGGUUUAAAGGGAGCGUAGGUGGAUUGUUAAGUCAGUUGUGAAAGUUUGCGGCUCAACCGUAAAAUUGCAGUUGAAACUGGCAGUCUUGAGGACAGUAGAGGUGGGCGGAAUUCGUGGUGUAGCGGUGAAAUGCUUAGAUAUCACGAAGAACUCCGAGUGCGAAGGCAGUUCACUGGACUGCAACUGACACUGAGGCUCGAAAGUGUGGGUAUCAAACAGGAUUAGAUACCCUAGUAGUC
This 460-nucleotide ribosomal RNA is filed under the name uncultured bacterium. RNAcentral describes it as "partial 16S ribosomal RNA". It matches the Rfam family "Bacterial small subunit ribosomal RNA", at positions 338 to 795 of the family's 1533-position model. The record is from RNAcentral.